GACAGAUGGCGUUAGCGUUGAAUAAUAGACCACAAGGAACAUUACCUAGCGACACUGAGAGAAAUCCGAAGGGUAGUCAUGAGCAAUGUCAAGCAGUUAUGUUGAGAAGUGGAAAACAUCUCAGGGGUAAUAAUGCAGAAAAUUCAGCGACACCGGAGGAAAAAGUUGAUGAGAGUAACGUGGUGGAAGGUAACAAGGAAGAGGGAAUAAAGUUAAACAAUAAGCCAAUUGUUUAUCCUCCACCACCGUUUCAGCAGAGGGUUCAAAAACAGAAGUCAGAUAAGCAG
This 287-nucleotide long non-coding RNA is filed under the name Panax ginseng (ginseng). RNAcentral describes it as "long non-coding RNA (PGIN_LNC004541)". Lineage: Eukaryota; Viridiplantae; Streptophyta; Magnoliopsida; Apiales; Araliaceae. The record is from RNAcentral.